Molecule: ribosomal RNA, 497 nt
Filed under: uncultured bacterium
Lineage: Bacteria
Description: partial 16S ribosomal RNA
Rfam family: Bacterial small subunit ribosomal RNA
Source: RNAcentral
GAUGAACGCUGGCGGCGUGCCUAAUACAUGCAAGUCGAGCGAACAGACGAGGAGCUUGCUCCUCUGACGUUAGCGGCGGACGGGUGAGUAACACGUGGAUAACCUACCUAUAAGACUGGGAUAACUUCGGGACACCGGAGCUAAUACCGGAUAAUAUAUUUCACCGCAUUGUUCAAUAGUGAAAGACGGUUUUGCUGUCACUUAUCUAUGGAUCCGCGCCGCAUUAGCUAGUUGGUAAGGUAACGGCUUACCAAGGCAAAGAUGCGUAGCCGACCUGAGAGGGUGAUCGGACACACUGGAACUGAGACACGGGCCAGACGCCUACGGGGGGAAGAAGUAGGGAAUCUGCCGCAAUGGGCGAAAGCCUGACGGAGCAACGCAGCGUGAGUGAUGAAGGUCUUAGGAUCGUAAAACUCUGUUAUUAGGGAAGAACAAAUGUGUAAGUAACUAUGCACGUAUUGACGGUACCUAAUCAGAAAGCCACGGCUAACUAAGUG